Pangasianodon gigas (Mekong giant catfish) is the source of this 69-nucleotide non-coding RNA. The record is from the annotation of a GenBank genome assembly. NCBI's taxonomy places the organism in Eukaryota, Metazoa, Chordata, Actinopteri, Siluriformes, Pangasiidae.
UGGAUAAUGGCAAUGGAUAACGCGUCUGACUACGGAUCAGAAGAUUCUAGGUUCAAAUCCUUUCUCCUC